RNAcentral lists this long non-coding RNA (413 nucleotides) under Danio rerio (zebrafish). RNAcentral describes it as "lncRNA si:ch73-112l6.6 (ENSDARG00000097526.3)". The record is from RNAcentral. Lineage: Eukaryota; Metazoa; Chordata; Actinopteri; Cypriniformes; Danionidae.
GGAGCACCCGUGUCUGUUUGACGUUUCAUACAGAAAGUUAUAAAAGAAAGUAGAUGAGAUUGCUUAUUCCCUUUAAACCCAGCCUAAUGGAGAAAUCGCGAGCUAUGGAAAACGAUGCACAUUUGUCUGGCAAGCGAUGAAAUAACCACACACAAUGGAGUAUAUGUGCUGCCGAAGCAAGCACGAACCAAGAGCUGGAGGGAGAGCUAUAUAUACCAGGGACUUCUGGGCAUGCGCAGAACAUUCCCCCCUCCUUGAUGACCAGAACAAAAGACGCCGAGAGCAGGAAACUCGUCUUACUGAAUGACCGAGGCUGGAGAAACGCUGAGAGACUUGAAGCCUAAAAGAUCACAAAACACAGCAAAGCACAACUCGUAACAGCCUUUGGAAACAUGAAGAACAUUCCCCCCAGC